Molecule: small nuclear RNA, 102 nt
Organism: Suncus etruscus (white-toothed pygmy shrew)
Lineage: Eukaryota; Metazoa; Chordata; Mammalia; Eulipotyphla; Soricidae
Source: RefSeq, a predicted model, not a curated record
UUGCUUCGGCAGCACAUAUACUAAAAUUGGAAGAUACAGAGAAGAUUAGCAUGGCCCCUGCGAAAGGAUGACACGCAAAUUUAUUUUAUUGGGUCUAUUUUA